GACGAACCGAGCGAACGUUGUUCGGAAUCACUGGGCUUAAAGGGCGCGUAGGCGGGCUGCCAAGUCCGUGGUGAAAUCCCCCGGCUCAACCGGGGAAGGGCCUCGGAUACUGGCGGCCUCGAGGGGGGUAGGGGCGUGCGGAACUGUGGGUGGAGCGGUGAAAUGCGUUGAUAUCCACAGGAACUCCGGUGGCGAAGGCGGCACGCUGGACCUCAUCUGACGCUGAGGCGCGAAAGCCAGGGGAGCGAACGGG
Molecule: ribosomal RNA, 253 nt
Filed under: uncultured bacterium
Lineage: Bacteria
Description: partial 16S ribosomal RNA
Rfam family: Bacterial small subunit ribosomal RNA
Source: RNAcentral